CAGACACCAACCAGAACAUGGUCAUAUUAUCCACAGGCCAACUCACUCCAAGUAAAGAGGUUCAUCCAUUUCUCUCCCUUCCUACUACCCUCUCACUUCAAUACCAUCAUCUCAUCCCUGGAAGACCACUCCAGCUCCCAGCCUUCCUCUCCGACCUGCAGUCCACUCUCCAAUAUAGCCAAUGGAUCUUCAAAAAUGCAAAGGUUGUUGCCAGGAGGAAUCAAGCUGCACCAUUGCCCCAACUUUCCCAAGUGUCUCCCAGGAUGCCAACGGUCCCAAGAAAAAGAAAGCACACACACGGC
This is a long non-coding RNA of Gorilla gorilla gorilla (western lowland gorilla), 302 nucleotides long. RefSeq lists it as uncharacterized. The transcript has 3 exons. The record is from RefSeq and is a predicted model, not a curated record. Lineage: Eukaryota; Metazoa; Chordata; Mammalia; Primates; Hominidae.